GAUGAACGCUGGCGGCGUGCCUAAUACAUGCAAGUCGAGCGAACAGACGAGGAGCUUGCUCCUCUGACGUUAGCGGCGGACGGGUGAGUAACACGUGGAUAACCUACCUAUAAGACUGGGAUAACUUCGGGAAACCGGAGCUAAUACCGGAUAAUAUAUUGAACCGCAUGGUUCAAUAGUGAAAGACGGUUUUGCUGUCACUUAUAGAUGGAUCCGCGCCGCAUUAGCUAGUUGGUAAGGUAACGGCUUACCAAGGCGACGAUGCGUAGCCGACCUGAGAGGGUGAUCGGCCACACUGGAACUGAGACACGGUCCAGACUCCUACGGGAGGCAGCAGUAGGGAAUCUUCCGCAAUGGGCGAAAGACUGACGGAGCAACGCCGCGUGAGUGAUGAAGGUCUUCGGAUCGUAAAACUCUGUUAUUAGGGAAGAACAUGUGUGUAAGUAACUGUGCACAUCUUGACGGUACCUAAUCAGAAAGCCACGGCUAACUACGUG
RNAcentral lists this ribosomal RNA (497 nucleotides) under uncultured bacterium. RNAcentral's name for it is "partial 16S ribosomal RNA". It matches the Rfam family "Bacterial small subunit ribosomal RNA", at positions 28 to 507 of the family's 1533-position model. The record is from RNAcentral.